GAAAUUUCAUCAACCUACUUCGUUUCCAAAUCAAGAGAUCUUAUUUUCCAUCAUCCUGAAAGAGGUUCAGAACUGAUGAUGUAGCAUGUCGUUUUUCAUCAAACAGAUAAAAAGGUUUAGUUUAGAGAUGAUCAUAUAUAUAGCUUUGAUUUGAUGCACAGGUGGGUGUCAGCCUGAUGGCCUUUCAGCAACUGGGAGGAAUAAACGUGUUAGGCCUCUAUACAAGCUAUAUCUUUUCAUCAGCAGAUACCAAUCACAUUAUUCGGGGCCCUUCUCGUGGAUAGGUGUGGAAGGAGAACCCUUCUACUGGUGUCUUCAUCUGGCACAUUUGUGGGCUGCUUUCUUACUGGGCUAUCAUUCUACUUUAAGGCAUACUAUGGGGCAUACUCAAUUUGAAUGGGACCUGUUCCUUG
Molecule: long non-coding RNA, 413 nt
Organism: Triticum dicoccoides
Lineage: Eukaryota; Viridiplantae; Streptophyta; Magnoliopsida; Poales; Poaceae
Exons: 4
Source: RefSeq, a predicted model, not a curated record